UACAGAGGUCUCGAGCGUUGUUCGGAUUCAUUGGGCGUAAAGGGUGCGUAGGUGGCGUGGUAAGUCUGGUGUGAAAUCCCGGGGCUCAACCCCGGAACUGCACUGGAUACUGCCAUGCUUGAGUACUGGAGAGGAGAUUGGAAUUUACGGUGUAGCAGUGAAAUGCGUAGAUAUCCGAAGGAACAUCAGUGGUGAAAGCGGCUUCCUGGUCCAGCACCGACGUUCAGGCACGAAAGCGUGGGGAGCAAACAGG
Molecule: ribosomal RNA, 253 nt
Filed under: uncultured bacterium
Lineage: Bacteria
Description: partial 16S ribosomal RNA
Rfam family: Bacterial small subunit ribosomal RNA
Source: RNAcentral